CCAAGAAGGUCGUUCUGAGGCAUCCAGUCCACUAUCAAAGUGUUGUUGCCCAGAGUGUCUGGUCUGCUGCCUUUAUACCUCCAGAUGACUUUCUGAGGAAGUUUAGCAAAAGCUGCAGCGAUCUCAUUUGCCAUGUCAGCAGGUAGUUCAUUCACAAAAGUCCCCAGAGACAUGAUGAUGACUCCAUGCUCUCCAGAACUCUGCACAAACUCCUCUAAAUGUUGAGGCAGAGGUUUUGCAGGUUUACACUGGAAUCCUCCCAUGUACACAACAUUAGGCAUUGUGGGACGAGGGAAUUCAAACACAAAGUCCACUCUCAUCAGCCAAAUGUCUGCAUCAAUCAAUAACUGGUUAAAAUCAUUAUUGGGUCCAAGAUAUUUGUCACAUAUUUUCUGAUAUAUCUGAUUGACCAGAUGUUUUUGUGUUUGGGUUAAUAUAUGUAAAAUCAUGUUUUUAA
Molecule: long non-coding RNA, 457 nt
Organism: Acanthochromis polyacanthus (spiny chromis)
Lineage: Eukaryota; Metazoa; Chordata; Actinopteri; Pomacentridae
Exons: 3
Source: RefSeq, a predicted model, not a curated record